GCUUUCGUGGUAUAGUGGUCAGCACGCUCGACGCGUAACCGAGAGGUCCGUGGUUCGAUUCCCGGCGAAGGUG
Molecule: transfer RNA, 73 nt
Filed under: Stegodyphus mimosarum
Lineage: Eukaryota; Metazoa; Arthropoda; Arachnida; Araneae; Eresidae
Rfam family: tRNA
About the family: Transfer RNA (tRNA) molecules are approximately 80 nucleotides in length. Their secondary structure includes four short double-helical elements and three loops (D, anti-codon, and T loops).
Source: Rfam by way of RNAcentral